UUGUAGUAGGAUAAUAGUAGCGUUAGUACCUAAAGCAAGAUUUAGUAAAUGGUGAAAUCUGUUGUGGCACACUGACUUGGAAGUGAAGCAAGUAGAUUGAGGUCGGUGUUGGCAGUGUGUUCGGUGGCACUUAGAUCUUACCGACUUAGUAAUGAAGGCUGGAGUACAGUCUUUAUUUAUAUUAUACAGAUAUAGGUCUUACAGUAUAGGUGACAGGAUUGUUUUUAGAUUUCUCUAGGUGGGUCAUGUUUUUUCUGGCUCACUUGCCUGGUGUGUGUGUCUGCCAAACUGUGUCAGAGUAAGUGUGAAGCUGUUUUGUAGCCUGAAAAGACACUAUUUAUACCUGGAAGGUAUUAUAAAGCCAUAAAUAGUACAGCUAUUUAUAUCUGGAAAAUUGGGUCCUGUGACCACCAGCAAGCAAGCAGAUGAAUUUUGCUUGUUUGCUUUCUUCUGGUUUUUGGUUUACUUUGAUGCUAGGAGUUUAGUUUAGCUAGACAAAGGCAGCUGUCAGUUGCAAUUUUCAUACUCAAUCUAAAGUUUACACUAAAAUGUCUUCGGGUGCCAUAUGCAUGGCUUCUACUAAAUUUAUAUUUUAGUGCAGUAUUCUUACAUGUCCUCAAAUUGUAGCAGAUUGUGUGAUUACUGUGUUCCAGUUUUAUUGUCCUUGGGAAUCAAGCAUUUGGUUGCUGUGCAGUUUUCUACUAACCUUGCUUUGCAGAGGUUAGCAGAUGAUGAGGUGAAAAUUUUUAUGUCUGGCAGAGAGUUGGCACUGACUGCCUCUGAGUAUUGUGAGAGCAAGAACUGCUAGUAGUGGAGUUAGCCUCAAAAUGACGCGAGUUCGGCACUGAAAAAGCGAGGAGUUAGGAAAACAAUACAAUUGGAAUCACGAAUGGCAUAUUA
Long non-coding RNA from Corapipo altera (White-ruffed manakin), 900 nucleotides. RefSeq lists it as uncharacterized. The transcript has 3 exons. NCBI's taxonomy places the organism in Eukaryota, Metazoa, Chordata, Aves, Passeriformes, Pipridae. The record is from RefSeq and is a predicted model, not a curated record.